Molecule: non-coding RNA, 411 nt
Organism: Camellia sinensis
Lineage: Eukaryota; Viridiplantae; Streptophyta; Magnoliopsida; Ericales; Theaceae
Source: RefSeq, a predicted model, not a curated record
CAGAUGGCUCCAACUGUUUGGAGCUUCUACUAAGGAGCACUGUGAAUUCUAAAAAAAUGCUCCUUCUUUUGUCAUAGUUUCUUGUGCAUUGUCAGUGUAUCUGUUCAACUUCAAUUCAUACAUGAUUUCAACGUAAUUUUUUAUGUUUGAUCUGGUUACUUGUGUGAAAUUGGCAAGAGAUGAGCUUCUUUUAUUGUUUGAAACAGCAAAAGCUUUUACUAGGCAAUUGGAACAGCUAUUGGAUUUAAGUGUCAAUUCAAGGAUUGAUUGGAUUUAAUCUAAGAAGCACAGACAUAGGACAUGACAUGGACUCUCCGACAUGCAAAAUUUUCAAAAUAUGUAAGAUACUACACGUGGGGGGCACGUGCAAAAUAUAUAAUUUCAUAUAUUUAUUAUGUCAUAUAUAAGGAU